RNAcentral lists this non-coding RNA (30 nucleotides) under Homo sapiens (human). The record is from RNAcentral. Lineage: Eukaryota; Metazoa; Chordata; Mammalia; Primates; Hominidae.
GGCCAAAUGUAAAGCAGCCGUGUUCAUCCA